Molecule: long non-coding RNA, 1201 nt
Organism: Salvelinus sp. IW2-2015
Lineage: Eukaryota; Metazoa; Chordata; Actinopteri; Salmoniformes; Salmonidae
Source: RefSeq, a predicted model, not a curated record
UGUUUGUAAACAAUACACAUUUAAACAAACACUGUAUGUAUAGCCUCAAAACAUGGCUAAAUCUAUAUAAUUCUGAUAUCGUGGAUGGUCAGUCCUUGCGUCCAUAGCUCUGUCUAUGAAUUUGAGAGUGGUUUUAGCCUACAUUUCUCCAGCCCCAUCUCUCAGCUUUUUACCAAGACAGAGACGGGUGGUAGCUUUCUUUUGUUUCAACUGCAGAUUGCCCCUUUAACUAUUUUUAGAUAUUUUUACAGCUCAAACAUGGUCAUAUAAAUAACAUCUUAUUCUAGUUCUGUGAACACUGUCUUCUUCACUCUGAUUGUGAAGUUUGCUAGUGUAACAAAAAAUCGUCCAACAGCUGCAACCAUAAAAAUAGAUUAAAUAGAACGGGCUUGGAAGUUGGAACCUCUAACCGUGGCAUAUUAUAUAUUCUAAUUCUUAAUUCUGUGGAUGCAACAAUGUAACUUUUCUGCAUGGAACGAUGUAACAAUGUCAUUUGUUUACAGUUGCUAUGGUUACACUCCUGACAACAGAAUAGUAAAUAGUAGCGGUUCAUUUUGCCAGCAAGCAAGCUAGCUAGCUCAAUUAUCUUGGUUUCACAUGAUAAAUUAUAAAUUUUACACUGCUAACUAGUAGUGCAAAUAUAAUGACUGCUUUGGAUGCUUCUGUUGAACAAAAAUCGAUUGGAAAAAGUUUGCUGGAUAACUGGGUAGAGGAGCAGGCCACUGCAGUCCUUGACAACGAGAGGCACAGAGCGCACAUCCACAAAAAUUGACAUAAGGGGAUUCUCACUGGAUCUGUCAUCCAAAGUUCAAGAUGUCACCACAAUGAAUUCUGCUUUCACCCAUCCCAAGGGUCAUGGGGUGAGACAAAGGGGCCUCAGGGGAGAUCUUCUGGAAAAAUAUCUAAUCAAGUAAAUAAGGAGCAUGACUACAAAGGCGAUCAGGCAGUUACUUUUUGGAGUGAGAAUCAUCAGCACAUACAGGAGAGCACGGACAUCUUUUCUUCAUGACACUCGUAAUCUGAGAGGCCCAGAGCUCCACAUCUACUGACAUGCAAUGCAUUCCUCCACCAAGAGAAUAAACAGGAUGGGAAUCACAAGACCACAUUUACCAUUCUUUCAUAUUCCUUCGUCUAUCAAACAAUACUGAAUACAUGAAGCCAUUAAAGAUAAUGCUGACAACACAUUCAUUACUCAUUGUGG